GGUGGUAUAGCUCAGCUGGUUAGAGCGCAGCAUUCAUAAUGCUGAUGUCCCAGGUUCAAAUCCCGGUACCACCACCA
This 77-nucleotide transfer RNA is filed under the name Rhodoferax sp. RNAcentral describes it as "tRNA-Met". It matches the Rfam family "tRNA". From Rfam's summary of the family: Transfer RNA (tRNA) molecules are approximately 80 nucleotides in length. Their secondary structure includes four short double-helical elements and three loops (D, anti-codon, and T loops). The record is from RNAcentral. RNAcentral also lists the same sequence under 6 other names. Lineage: Bacteria; Pseudomonadati; Pseudomonadota; Betaproteobacteria; Burkholderiales; Comamonadaceae.